Non-coding RNA from Odocoileus virginianus texanus, 2570 nucleotides. Lineage: Eukaryota; Metazoa; Chordata; Mammalia; Artiodactyla; Cervidae. The record is from RefSeq and is a predicted model, not a curated record.
CCUUCUGGGCGCAACCAACGCUCAUGGCGGCCGACCGCGGCCCAAGACCAGAAGCCGCCUGUGCGCACGUGGGAUGGUGCCUCCCCUAGACUGACCUGAGGCCUAAGACCGCCCUGAGGCAGAGCGUCAGGGGCUUGAAGGGCCCCUUCUUGUUCUCACUGGAAGCAGGACCCCGAGACUGGAGUGUGUACAGAGGCAGGCAGGCCGGGGGCCGGGAUCCUGAGCCCCUGAGUCAGGAGCGAUGAGUGAGGCCCCUCGGGGUCCAGCGCGGGAGGCGUGGAAGCCCAGGCUCGGAUGGGAGAAGUCUGGGCACAGACGAAGAAGGAGAUGAAUCUCGUGUGCCUAUGGUUCUGUCAAAGGUGCUUCCUGUUUCCAGGCUCGAGUUAUUUUCCGUCUGGUUCACACCUAAGGGCUCAACGCUGAGGAGACUCAGUCUUGGGUUUUCAAGACCUCGGAGUCUUGUAGGUGAAACCAGGUCGACAGGAAACAGGACUCCCAACUCAUUCAUGGCAACAAGGACGUCAUUCUGUUUCUCUAGGGAGAGAAUGAGGGCUCAGAGGGAGGCCUGUCCUGUCAGAGUGGAGUCAGUAAGCUCCUCAGAGCAGAGCCGGGUGAGAAGGGAGCACCCGGUUUUCCCCUCAAAGAGAAGAGAUGUGCUAACCCAGGGCCGCAUGCUCCCGGGCCUGCUCUGCUGGAGGAGCCCGUGAGGAGCAGACUGGGGCCUUUUAUGGCCCCAAAACUGAAGAAGAAUUUUAUGAGAUUCUUGUGACUGCUCUCUCUCCCUUCCUUCUUCCCUCCAUUUCUAUUUUCUCUCCUUUGAAGUAGCAACCAUCCUUGCCUUGGACAAUUUCUCUCACAGCCCAUACAUCCUCCAGAGAUUUCACUCCGGGCCCGUAAUCAGAAUUAGCCCACAUUACUAGACCCAAUGUGGAUUUUUUUUUUUUAAUCUCUCUCUAACUUUUCAAACAGAAAUCUUGACAUGAACUCAGUCAUCUCCAUUUUCACCCCACAAGAGUGGUAGACUUAAACCCAGGGUCGCAGAAGCACUGGGUGUUGGUGUUGUCAUUAAAAUUCCCUCCAUUUCUUCACUGGACACAGUCAUUUGUGACCACCCAAGGACAUCUUGGCUGAAACUACAACUUGUGCUUCAUGCAUGAGUUGAAAUUCUUCAUCAAGCCCUGGAAGAAAUAUCAAAGGUUUUUACAGAAGAAAUCACACAUAAAGAAAAAAAAGAUGGAAGCAUCUAUUAAAAACACAGUAACUGUCUCUUUGAAAAACCUUGUUUCAUUUUUGGAGAAUGAGGAAGUUGAUCUUUGACAGGAGAAAGAAGGGAUAAAAGAAACAGGAAAACAGGGGAAAUGGAUAGAAACAAGUUAAUUUGUGCAUUGUCAUAACUGAGAAAGAGUUUGCAGCAUAAAAGACGUUUACCAGAGCAUAACCCCGGGACAUGAUUUGACCUUGUUUGGCCACAGUUUCCUCUUCUGUGAAGUGAGGAAGUUGGCUUCGAGGAUCUCUUGACAGUUCCAGCCAUUGUGAAUCAAUGCCUUUCAUUGAGAGCAGAAAGGAAGAAUCCUACACUUCAGAAUCGAGGGUAAUGAUAAUUCUUACAGACCUAUAAUUUUAGGACUGCAAAACCACUAAGAAGUAACCACAAAAAAUCUAAACGAAUAAGAGUUCAACUUGUGGGCUAGUGAUGCAUUAUUAUCCCAAAUCCACAGUUUUUCUUAUGCAGACAGUAGCAGUUAUAAAAUGUAAUGAAAGAAGAAUGUGGCUCAAAAAGAAAGAAAAACCAUGAAAUAUCUAGGAGUCAAGUUACAAAAACACUCUGAACAACCCAGAAAGAAACUUACUGAAGGACACAAAAGGUUGUACUAAGAGGAGGCAAAAACAUCUAAAGGGAUAUCUUGUUCUUAGACUCACAUGACCCACAUGCCAUUUUUUUUUCUUUAGUAAAACCUGUAAUUUCAAUGAAGCAAUAACAUUGUGUUUAACUUGAUGGAAUAAUUUAAAUGUUAUUUGGUAAUAGAGAAUCACUGAGCGUAGCCAUGAACUCUGAAAGAGACUGAAGAGGGAGAUCUGAUUAUCUUGAACUAGAGGAGCUGUGUUAUUAAUAGCUCAGAUCACUUAGUGCUGCCUCUGGCAGAGACAAACAGAAGAGCGGAAGGAACAGAACUGUCUCUAACCAGGACUAGGCAUUCCAGGACCUCCGUUCUGGGACAAUGAGGUUCCUCCAUGUCUUCCUCACCGCUCUCUCGAUCCUCUUCCAGACAGCACUAGGGCACUCAAUUUUGAAAGACCCUGCUAUCUUCGGGGUGGAAUCUGCCUGAAGCAAGGGACGCCGAGCUGUGAGCCCUUCAGAGGACCCUGCCGGGCAUUCACCGUUUGCUGCAAAAUAAAGCCGAGCUGAUGGAGGCAGCCCAGCUGAGGAACCCAGCGAGAGACCCAGAGCAAGUCUCCUCUUGUGCAGAUAAAAGCAGACGGUUCUCCCAUCUACACAAUCGACUAUUUUAUCAUUCAGACUGAUUAAAGUUAUCUUCCAUGGCAGGGUAGGCAGUGGGAGGGAGACAGUC